CCUACGGGUGGCAGCAGUGGGGAAUAUUGCACAAUGGGGGAAACCCUGAUGCAGCGACGCCGCGUGAGUGAAGAAGUAAUUCGUUAUGUAAAGCUCUAUCAGCAGGGAAGAAAAGGACGGUACCUGAGUAAGAAGCCCCGGCUAACUACGUGCCAGCAGCCGCGGUAAGACGUAGGGGGCAAGCGUUAUCCGGAUUUACUGGGUGUAAAGGGAGCGUAGACGGCAGUGCAAGUCUGGAGUGAAAGGCGGGGGCUCAACCCCCGGACUGCCCUGGAAACGGUACGGCUGGAGUGCAGGAGAGGUAAGUGGAAUUCCUCGUGUAGCGGUGCACUGCGUAGAUAUUAGGAG
RNAcentral lists this ribosomal RNA (348 nucleotides) under uncultured bacterium. Its description in RNAcentral is "partial 16S ribosomal RNA". It matches the Rfam family "Bacterial small subunit ribosomal RNA", at positions 338 to 703 of the family's 1533-position model. The record is from RNAcentral.